RNAcentral lists this small RNA (557 nucleotides) under Pongo abelii (Sumatran orangutan). RNAcentral describes it as "processed transcript". Lineage: Eukaryota; Metazoa; Chordata; Mammalia; Primates; Hominidae. The record is from RNAcentral.
AGAGUCCUGAGCUGAACAAAGAAGGAGGAGGGGGUCGGGCCUCCGAGGAAGGCCUAGCCGCUGCUGCUGCCAGGAACUCCAGGUAGGAGGGGCGGCAACCUCCUGCCAGCCUUCAGGCCACUCUCCUGUGCCUGCCAGAGGAGACAGAGCUUGAGGAGAGCAGGAAAGCAGCUAACAAGGUACAUACUGUCACCGUCCCCAUUUUACAGAUAGGGAAAUUGAGGCUCGGAGCGGUUAAACAACUCACCUGAGGCCUCAUAGCCAGUAAGUGGGUUCCCUGGUCUGAAUAUGUGUGCUGGAGGAUCCUGUGAGUCACUCACCUGGUAGAGCCCCAAGGUGGAGGCGUAAGUGGGACUGGUGAAUGACAGAAGGGGCAAAAAUGCACUCAUCCAUUCACUCCGCAAGUAUCUACGGCACGUACGCCAGCUCCCAAGCAGGUUUGUGGGUUGCACAGAGGGUGAUGCAAUCUGAUUUAGGCUUUUAAAGGGAUUGCAAUCAAGUGAGGCCCCACUAGCCUCAACCCUGUACCUCCCCUCCCCCUCCACCCCCAGAAGUCC